AUGACCGUGAUGCUCCAGGAUAUUGCUAUGAUCGCCGGUCUUCCUAUCGAGGGCAAUCCUCUAUGUAUGAGCACCGAUUCUGAUGGGUGGCGCACGCAGAUGCAUGCCCUUAUCGGUAUGGUUUCUCCGGAGCCUCCGGAACCAGCAGCAGAAGACAAGAAGAAGGAAAGAGUCGCAGACUAUGUUUGCUAA
RNAcentral lists this ribosomal RNA (192 nucleotides) under Triticum aestivum (bread wheat). RNAcentral describes it as "partial small subunit ribosomal RNA". The record is from RNAcentral. Lineage: Eukaryota; Viridiplantae; Streptophyta; Magnoliopsida; Poales; Poaceae.